Molecule: ribosomal RNA, 495 nt
Filed under: uncultured bacterium
Lineage: Bacteria
Description: partial 16S ribosomal RNA
Rfam family: Bacterial small subunit ribosomal RNA
Source: RNAcentral
GACGAACGCUGGCGGCGUGCCUAAUACAUGCCAGUCGAACGCUGAAGGAGGAGCUUGCUUCUCCGGAUGAGUUGCGAACGGGUGAGUAACGCGUAGGUAACCUGCCUGGUAGCGGGGGAUAACUAUUGGAAACGAUAGCUAAUACCGCAUAACAGUAGAUGUUGCAUGACAUUUGCUUAAAAGGUGCAAUUGCAUCACUACCAGAUGGACCUGCGUUGUAUUAGCUAGUUGGUGAGGUAACGGCUCACCAAGGCGACGAUACAUAGCCGACCUGAGAGGGUGAUCGGCCACACUGGGACUGAGACACGGCCCAGACUCCUACGGGAGGCAGCAGUAGGGAAUCUUCGGCAAUGGACGGAAGUCUGACCGAGCAACGCCGCGUGAGUGAAGAAGGGUUUCGGAUCGUAAAGCUCUGUUGUAAGAGAAGAACGAGUGUGAGAGUGGAAAGUUCACACUGUGACGGUAGCUUACCAGAAAGGGACGGCUAACUACGUG